GACAGCAGUGAUGCCAGUCCACAUCUCAAACACACACGUAACUAAAGACAUGAUCACAGAUCCAGCAGAAGCUGAAGUCAGCAGGACGGCUGGAUUAUUAUUCAGAGUGAUUGUGAUUAUUGUUGAGUUUGCAGCGUUUGCUGCUCCUACUGUGAUUCUUCUUCAG
Sinocyclocheilus grahami is the source of this 166-nucleotide long non-coding RNA. RefSeq lists it as uncharacterized. NCBI's taxonomy places the organism in Eukaryota, Metazoa, Chordata, Actinopteri, Cypriniformes, Cyprinidae. The transcript has 3 exons. The record is from RefSeq and is a predicted model, not a curated record.